GACGAACGCUGGCGGCGUGCUUAACACAUGCAAGUCAUGCGGUAAGGCCCUUUCGUGGGUACACGAGCGUCGAACGGGUGAGUAACACUUGAGCAACCUGCCCCUCACUUUGGGAUAACUGCCGCAAACGGUGGCUAAUACCGGAUACGACUUCCUCACGCAUGUGGGUUGUUGGAAAGCCUUCGGGUGGUGGGGGAUGGGCUCGCGGUCUAUCAGCUUGUUGGUGGGGUGAUGGCCUACGAAGGCUUCGACGGGUAGCCGGCCUGAGAGGGUGACCGGCCACCAUGGGACUGAGAGACGGCCCAGACUCCUACGGGAGGCAGCAGUGGGGAAUAUUGGAGAAUGGGGGAGAGCCUGAUACAGAAACGCCGCGUGCGGGAUGACGGCCUUCGGGUUGUAAACCUAUUUCGCCUGCGCCGAAGCGAGCGUGACGGUAGCAGGUCAGGAAGCACCGGCCAACUACGUG
RNAcentral lists this ribosomal RNA (466 nucleotides) under uncultured bacterium. RNAcentral describes it as "partial 16S ribosomal RNA". It matches the Rfam family "Bacterial small subunit ribosomal RNA", at positions 28 to 507 of the family's 1533-position model. The record is from RNAcentral.